Molecule: small nuclear RNA, 333 nt
Filed under: Eptatretus burgeri (inshore hagfish)
Lineage: Eukaryota; Metazoa; Chordata; Myxini; Myxiniformes; Myxinidae
Description: 7SK RNA (ENSEBUG00000000207.1)
Rfam family: 7SK RNA
About the family: 7SK was discovered as an abundant small nuclear RNA in the mid-70s but a possible function has only recently been suggested.
Source: Rfam by way of RNAcentral
GGAUGUGCGGGUGGAAUUGGCUGCGACUCCCAUCACACCCCAUUGAUCGCUAGCGAUAGGAUCGGCUGAUCUGGUUGGUUAGAUGGGGCGUCCCCCGUUCCCCGCACGGAUCCGCGUCCGGUCUCGCCGAUGCCCCGCGCUCGGAUCGACGGCCGAGAGGCUCACCGCACGCACUACUGACACAGCGCACGGGUUUAACCACGGAGCUGCGAGUACCCACUUAGACCAAACACCGGAGACGGCGACGGCGAUAAGAGGGAAGCACGCUCUGCACCAUAUGUUGGUCAGAUGGUGGCCUUUCGAUUGCAGUCUCUGCAGAAGCUGCUGUUCACU